Bos taurus (domestic cattle) is the source of this 1817-nucleotide long non-coding RNA. The record is from Ensembl. Lineage: Eukaryota; Metazoa; Chordata; Mammalia; Artiodactyla; Bovidae.
AUAAAAUUCCUACUAAUAACAAUGAAAUAAAUUUCUGCAAGUAUAAAUGUGAUACAGUUUAACAAAACCCAUUGUUCUGUACCUAUAAAUAGAUUUUCAAAAUGUCAUAAAAAGUGCAGUUAUGAAUUGUUAACAUGUUAAUACACAGUUGCUUUAUUUCAAAUGUGUUUGCCUUGACUCACCAACAGUUCCUUCUGUAGCUGUUCAAAUAAUAUUACCCAUCCCUCCAAAAAAAAAAAAAAGAGGCAUUAAAGCACUAGAAUAUUACACAUAAACUGAUCCAUUGAGGUCAGCUUUAGUCAGAAUUGUAAAAUCAGCAACAUAAGAAAAAUAAAACCUAGUUAUACAUACAAAAAGCUUUCAUGGGUUCUAUACUCUUCUUAACUGCUGACUCAUGUGGAGGGCAUAAUAGUUGAAAAGGCUUAUAUGGUUAACUAACUUAGACUACAUCUACAGCAGGGUCUGAUUUGCCAGAACAAGUUUAAAGUGGCUGUUUAUCAAGUUUGUUGUCUUCAGAAUUGAAGCUAUAAAUGUAAGAUCGCCAUUUGACACUGAAAAUCGUGUGAAUCCUAAAUUGCAUCAAUGAUCUAUUUGAUAAAAGCUUAUUCUAAUUGAAACCUUAUAUAGUAAGAGACUGAUAGAUAUAUAGCAGUCUUAAAGAUCACGUCAUCCGCCUCACGUUAGUCCAAAGUCACGUGCUUCGUAAAAAAGAAAAAAAUUACAGUAACAAAGCACAGGACGACAAAGGCAAAACAUCACAGCUUCUGAUUACAUGGAAUAAAAAGUACCAAGGAACGCAAAAAGAUAAUUCUGUAUUAAUACUGAUGAAUUAAAGAACUAUAACAGACAUUUCACAGCAUGCUACAUAUAUCACUCACAACUUAAGGAUAAAAUGAUGUCUAAAAUUGAAAGAUAAGAAGUUGGCAAUCUGAUUUCGUGUGCAAUUCAGCUACAAAGUCUUAAUAUAUACAUUCAUGAUGUAGCUGCCCUGCAAAAUCAGGUUCUUUUUAAAAAAGAGAGAUUUCAAGUUCAAAUCCUAUUUCAUAAGCUAAAGGAUACAUCCAGUUGUUCCAUGACCAGGAAAGUUAUUUUCAGGGUUGAAGGAGCUAAUCCAAGUAGCAAGGCCAUGCUCCACGCUGACCUGACAGGGUUCUGUGUAACCUUGCUCCAACUGUGCAUGUGGCUGUGAGUAUUCUAUCAGCAUGGAGAAGAUGCCAAACUGGCUUGUGGUUUGCUUUCUUUGUCUAUCUUAUCUGAUUAAAAAGAGUAGAUGUGAAAAGAGAAAAGAGGAAGGGAAAAAAAGGUAUUUUCUUUCCAGGGAAGAUAUAUAGAUGUAAAGGGAAUAUCUGCACUAGGUAUAGAGUUGGGAUGACUUCCCUUGGUGAACAAGGGUAGCAUUUAACUCUUUCCCUUUAUUUUAGAGAAUCAGUAAAAUUCAGGAAGGAGAAAACAAGUCUCAACAUUACAAAGGAAAUUUCUUGGCUACCAACUGAUGAAUUUCCUUGAUCCUACUUUUUGAUCCUUCCUUAUCAGAUUUGGGAAUCAGUCGACAACUUGUAAAGACUGAUUAACUUAAAAGGAGAUGUAUAAUCAGUUUCAUUCAGUAGGUGUCAUAAUGCAUAAACUUAAGCUAAUCAGGAUUGAUAAUACUUCAGCAUUAAAGACUAGAGAGCCUCUCUCCUUUUGAUUUUUUUAUGAAGUUAAACUGAGGAAUGCAAGAAAAUAGACUGCUUUAGCAAAUUUAUAUACCCAAAAUUACAUUUAUCAUAGUUAGACUUACUAACAUUUGAUGUUGUACUAUGAGCUGUAAAAUAGGG